UACGUAGGGGGCAAGCGUUGUCCGGAAUCAUUGGGCGUAAAGCGCGUGUAGGCGGUCCGGUAAGUCCGCUGUGAAAGUCCAGGGCUCAACCCUGGGAUGCCGGUGGAUACUGUCGGGCUAGAGUGCGGUAGGGGAGACUGGAAUUCCUGGUGUAGCGGUGAAAUGCGCAGAUAUCAGGAGGAACACCGGUGGCGAAGGCGGGUCUCUGGGCAGUAACUGACGAUGAGGAGCGAAAGCGUGGGGAGCGAACAGG
Molecule: ribosomal RNA, 253 nt
Filed under: uncultured bacterium
Lineage: Bacteria
Description: partial 16S ribosomal RNA
Rfam family: Bacterial small subunit ribosomal RNA
Source: RNAcentral